Hordeum vulgare subsp. vulgare (domesticated barley) is the source of this 1024-nucleotide long non-coding RNA. RefSeq lists it as uncharacterized. The transcript has 2 exons. Lineage: Eukaryota; Viridiplantae; Streptophyta; Magnoliopsida; Poales; Poaceae. The record is from RefSeq and is a predicted model, not a curated record.
ACCUGAGCCCACUAGCGCAGAAGCGGUGGGCAUUUUAACCAAAGACCGAACCGAAAGAACUGGGACCGAGAUCGAAUAAACCGAAACCAAGUAUUUUAAUUCCUAAUUCGGGCAGGAGUUCACAAAAACCAAAUUUACGUUGAAAUUUUCGGUUUUGACUCUCAGUCACCCGAAUUGACCGAAAAAUGAAUAAAUACAAGUAGAUGGGCUGAAACCAAUUUAUAGCCUAGAAACCCGGCUCAAUAUCCUACUACUUCAACCCACCUAACUACAAACCCUUAUCCUUUCCACGUAUGACUAAUUUCACCACACCUCAUUUUCCUUCUUCGGGACUACAUCCGUAGCUCUCUUCCCCUACAUAUUUCCCAUGGAGGAAAUGAGAGCAACCCCAACGCAGCGAUCCAUUUUUUCCGUUUGGGUCAUCCGGACACAAAAGCUAGCCCAACGAGAUGACCCAAACGGACGCGCGCGUCCGUCUGCUGUCCGUUUGUUGUCCAUCCCACCCAAACUUGCGCAAAACUGGGUCACAAAUGGGUCCGAGGCGGACAAAACUGCACACUUCCCUCAUCCGCUCCUCCCCCCUCUUGUCCACCCUGGUCCCACCUAUCAACGACCUGCCGCGGCUGCUGAUGUUUGGGUGCUGCCCUCGUCCACUCCUCCCGGUGCUGCGGGCGAUGCGCGGCGCCACGCGGACCGUGGAGGAUAGUCAAGACGGGCCGACCUGCUCGCCGGCGACCCCGAUCUGCUCGCCGGUGACCCCGAGAUCGCAUAUUUGGAGAGGAGCAUGAUGAUUGCAACCCCGGAACCUGAGAGUUGAGGAUAGAAGCCUUGUGAGAUAGGAAUUAUCCAGGUCAGCUGUUCUUGUGGGAAUGGAGCCCCAUGGGCACUUGAGAUUCCACGAGUUGCUUCCGUCGUCAACCUUUCGACAUUUUUGUCCAACCUCCCUCAUGGACCUUCAUGGUAUUGUACCCCAAACUUUGUAAUUGCUUGGGAAUUUUGUAUCAAGUGAGUGUUAACCAUCUAA